RNAcentral lists this ribosomal RNA (483 nucleotides) under uncultured bacterium. RNAcentral describes it as "partial 16S ribosomal RNA". It matches the Rfam family "Bacterial small subunit ribosomal RNA", at positions 30 to 506 of the family's 1533-position model. The record is from RNAcentral.
AUUGAACGCUGGCGGCAUGCUUUACACAUGCAAGUCGAACGGCAGCACGGGCUUCGGCCUGGUGGCGAGUGGCGAACGGGUGAGUAAUAUAUCGGAACGUACCCAGAAGUGGGGGAUAACGUAGCGAAAGUUACGCUAAUACCGCAUACGAUCUAUGGAUGAAAGCAGGGGACCGCAAGGCCUUGUGCUCCUGGAGCGGCCGAUAUCUGAUUAGCUAGUUGGUGAGGUAAAGGCUCACCAAGGCGACGAUCAGUAGCUGGCCUGAGAGGACGACCAGCCACACUGGAACUGAGACACGGUCCAGACUCCUACGGGAGGCAGCAGUGGGGAAUUUUGGACAGUGGGCGCAAGCCUGAUCCAGCAAUGCCGCGUGAGUGAAGAAGGCCUUCGGGUUGUAAAGCUCUUUUGUCAGGGAAGAAACGGUAGAGGCUAAUAUCCUUUGCUAAUGACGGUACCUGAAGAAUAAGCACCGGCUAACUACGU